Molecule: ribosomal RNA, 692 nt
Filed under: Isatis lusitanica
Lineage: Eukaryota; Viridiplantae; Streptophyta; Magnoliopsida; Brassicales; Brassicaceae
Description: eukaryotic LSU rRNA
Rfam family: 5.8S ribosomal RNA (bases 279-434)
Source: RNAcentral
AGAAUGGUCAAUCCUUAUCGUAACAGAACGACCCGCGAACGAUUGAUCAUCACUCUCGGUAAGCCGGUGUCUUAGCUGAUUCCGUGCCCGCCGAUUCCGUGGUUAUGCGUGUGGUCUCAGCCAAGAUUCAUAUCUCGGUUGGGUCAUGCGCCUAGCUUCCGGAUAUCACCAAACCCCGGCACGAAAAGUGUCAAGGAACAUGCAACUAAACAGCCUGCGUUCGCCUACCCGGAGACGGUGUUUGCGUGGACGUUGUGCUGCAAUCUAAAGUCUAAAACGACUCUCGGCAACGGAUAUCUCGGCUCUCGCAUCGAUGAAGAACGUAGCGAAAUGCGAUACUUGGUGUGAAUUGCAGAAUCCCGUGAACCAUCGAGUCUUUGAACGCAAGUUGCGCCCUAAGCCUUCUGGCCGAGGGCACGUCUGCCUGGGUGUCACAAAUCGUCGUCCCCCCAUCCUCUCGAGGAUAUUGGACGGAAGCUGGUCUCCCGUGUGUUACCGCACGCGGUUGGCCAAAAUCCGAGCAAAGGACGCAAGGAGCGUCCCGACAUGCGGUGGUGAAUUAAAACUUCGUCAUACCGUCGGCCGCUCCUGUCUGGAUGCUCUCGAUGACCCAAAGUCCUCAACGCGACCCCAGGUCAGGCGGGAUCACCCGCUGAGUUUAAGCAUAUCAAAACGGGGAAAGAAAAAAAGGA